AAACCACAAAGGGAAAAAAAAAAGUAUUCCAACCAACGAGGCAGCCCAGGCGGCCGCCAAUGCCAUUUAUCCUUAGCAAACGAGCCAACGGCAAAGGACGCACGGGGCGGGAGCCAGAGUGGGAAUCGGGGCUGAGCUGGAGCAGCUGGAGGGGAGGAGAUGUUUGAGCUGCUCCCCAGUUUGGGGCUGCUCCCCAGUUUUGGGGUGCUCCCCAGUUUGGGGCUGCUCCCCAGUUUUGGGGUGCUCCCCAGUUUUGGGGUGCUCCCCAGUUUGGGGCUGCUCUCCAGUUUGGGGCUGCUCCUUGGUUUUGGAGUUGCUUCCCAGUUGGGGAUUGCUCCUCAUUUUGGGGUUGCUCCUCAUUUUGGGGUUGCUCUCCAGUUUUGGGGUUGUUCCCCAGUUUUGGGGUUGCUCCCCAGUUUUGGGGCUGCAUCAGGGCCAGUCCAGAAGGGCUCCGUGCUGGGCUCGGCUCCCCGAGGCUUUUUUUUGUUCUUUUAGGAGGAAGCUCCAACUUUUUUGGGUUUAAUUUUUCCAAGAAGGUUCUGGAUCAGAGGGGAAGGGGGAAAGAAAUCAAAGAAUUUUGGGGAGGGAAGAGGGGUGAGAGUGGCCUGGGCAGAGCAAAAGCAUGGAAGGAGGAAAGGGGUGGAUUCUGGGGUGAAAACACCGGAUUAUUGAGCCGUCCAUCCUCACGGCAGCACCUUGCCCAUAACCUCUCCCAAAAAACCCUCCUUCCCGAAAAAACCUAUGCAGGGAAGAGCAGGUCCCCACCGCCUCCCUCAGCACCGGGAUUGGUCCUUGCUGAGGCUGGGAAAACCCACAGGGAGCUCAUCCCCUGUUCCCACUGAGCUCCAGAGCACCCCGGGAGGAGAAGAGGUUGUGGAGGAACUUUUGGGAUUUGUGGAAGGACAGGGAGGACCCCCUCCCCUGCCAAGCCCGGGGUGACAGCACUGCAGAAAAGCCUUUUUGGGUUUAACUUUGCUUCGUGGGGAUUUCGGGGGGAGCCGCCCCCCCCACCCCACGCCUGCUUUCUUUCCAAGGCAACUCCAUAAAUCCAAUGUAGCAAAGAGGGCCUGGAAGCAGGAGCGGGAUCGGAAUAGGAUGAGGAGACAAGAAUGAUGAAUGAAAAAAUAAUCCAAGCGAGCUGCUGAGGAUGGGAAAAACCCCUGGGAUCAGGUGGAGAAUUCUCUCAAGGAUUCAGGGCCACAUCACAAGGAAGGAACACCGGACUGGAGCCCACACCUCCACGGGCACUGGGAUGAGCCGGACGGACGCUGUUUUUCCCACCAAACCUCCUCCUCCUUUUUGACAGUGGCCUUUCCCCCCUCCAGCACUCAGCCAAGCCACCGUGGGACCCCCAUCCCGCCUGGAGACUCCCAGGAUUUCAGCGAUCCCCCCUGAGCGCUCCUCACAUGCCUUACACAGCUUGGGACUCGCCGGGGAGUCACUCCGAGGAUGCUCUUCCCACUCCGCUUCCGCGCCCCCGACGGCCUCGGAUCCACCUGAGCAGUAGGAAUGGGAUGUCUGGGAGCGUUCCCAGCUCUCCCAGCACGGAUCAGGGUAGAAGGCAGGGAUUCCUGACGGACUGCGUCCCGUGAAUCCUCCCACUUCCUGCACUUUUGAAACCAAAGGUACCUUUGCGAAGAGAGAGAGAGAGAGGCUGGGUUUCCUUCAGAAAAUAUGGAUUUUUGGAUGGAUUUUCCUUUUGUUUUUUUGUUUAUUGUUUUUGUUUUUUCUGAGGAGGAUGGAGGUUUUUUUUGGAUGGGAUGCAACGGGAUUCGUGCAGUUAUUCUUUCUGCUCUGGAGACAUGUCAGUGACAGGGAUACUCCCACUGCUAUGGAUUGUGGAGAGGGACUUUGCCACAUCCCGAUGGAUCCCUGGAAGAGCCCGGAGUGGGCCGACAGGAGAGAUGGAUGCAAAUUAAUCCAAUGCAAAUGCCUUCCUUAAAAUAAUAAUUAUCAUUGAUCUUGGUCGUCUUCUCUGAUAGGUCAAGCGUGGGGUGAAGAUGGAGCUCGUGGGGUUGGAUUUGGUGACCUUGAAAAGGUCCUUUCCCACCCAAGUUGUUCCAUGAAACCAACAGCAAAGGAAUUCCAGGGUUUAGGUCAGGGUCAAGAGGCAGAGCCCCCUCAUAGAGCUGAGGGAGCUGUCCCAGGGAUGUCCCUCAUGUGUCACCCCCUGCCAGGACCCUCCAGCUGUGUCCCCUGGCAAGGGACAGCCCCGUUGUGACCCUCAGUGUGGACACAGCCACGCCCCAAUCCCAGUCCUGUGACUCCCAGAAUUCCAUCCAGCUUUUAGGCAAACACCCCCCAAGGCCAAAUGUGACACCACCCCUGGGAUGGGGACAAUCCCAUUCCCAAAGGUGACAUUGCCCCUGGGAUGGGGACAAUCCCAUUCCCAAAGGUGACACCGCCCCUGGGAUGGGGACAAUCCCAUUCCCAAAGGUGACACCGCCCCUGGGAUAGGGACAAUCCCAUUCCCAAACCAUUCCCAACUCCCUGCUGAGUUUGGACGAGUCCCUGCCCAAGCACCACUGGGAAUGAGAAACAAAUCCAGCCUCUGGAUCUGGGAUCUUCCCAGUGCUCCCAGUCCUUGCUGCUGACAGGGACCACAAAACUCCUCCAAACCUCUGGAAAUCAGGCCAGGAUUGCUGGAAGCUGGCCCAUGUUGGGUAUCCAUGAUAUGCCAUUCCCAUGAAAACCCGUAUUCCUGAACCACCUCAUCCCUGAGGAAAUCUCUCAGCAUCCCUUUGGAAAAAGGAAUGGGAAGGAGCUGGACUCUGCCCAACCUUAUCCCAAAUUUCCUCAUAAAAUUCCCCAGGUUACUUUGAGUAAUGAGAAAAGGCAGGAGAUGCAGAGGUGAACAAACAACUCAGUGUAAGUUACUCACAGUCCUGUCUCAGCUCUGUGUAAAAGUUACUCAAUGUUUGUAAGGUUUAGCAAAAAUUCUGACAUUUCUUCAAAAUUUCCCCCCUGGGGUUUUGGAGCCCAAAGACAAUUCAGGCUAAAAACUCAUCCUGAGCUUCUCAUCUCUUACUCCUUUGAGUAAAGUUCAAGGUUUGCACAGGGAGAAAAGCCCUGAGCCCAAACCUUCCACAGCGCUCACAGGGUGACCCCACAGAUCCCAAAAACCCAGACAGGGCUGGGAUGAACCCACACGGUGUCCCGGGAACAUCCUUGGAGCAGGAGAUGGAUGGAUGGAUGGAUGGAUGGAUGGAUGGAUGGAUGGAUGGAUGGAUGGAUGGAUGGAUGGAUGGACGGAUAACCCACACAAGGAUUUGUGGUGCUGAGGGAUCUUCCCCACCCUGAUCCUGAUUCCCUGGGAUCUGCUCUGCUGCUCCAUCCCCUCUCCAGAGGGGUCAUCCCGGUCACCUCCUGUCCUGAUUCCUGUGGUGGCCCGCAGGGCUGCUCCCAUUCCCACCACAGGGACCAUGAUCCUUCCUCGGGUUCUGCACAACCUCUCUGGGACAGGGAACACUUCCAUCUUUCCAGAAGAAAGAAUCCUUUCUUCAUCAAGGGUUUAACUUCUGAUUCAGAAAUAAAAAGGGAAGGGCCAGACCCAAAACUCCAGCACCACACCCCAAAUUCCAGCACCACACCCCAAAUUCCAGCACCACAGUCUCAGGAGCCGAGCUCAACCCCAAAUAUGUAAAUUUGUCCUGUUCCUACAACAUUCCAAGCCAACUCCACAUCCAUGUCCUGGAGACAAAUCCAGGCUCCAUCUCAGUUCCAGGGACCUCCCUGGCACUGAGCCCUGGGACAGCUGACAGGAACACCAGGAAUUCGGGAUACGAGGACAUCGCUGCGCUUCCCUGAUCCGGAGGCUGCUCCCAUUCUCCCUGAGGUGACACCACAACUGGAGGCACAAAACCAGCGGGAGAAGCUGGAAUUUCCAUCCAAACCCCAAAAUCCUGCUUGGAGAAACCCAACCCAACAGGACACGCUGUCCCUGCUGCCACCAUUGCCUUCCUGGAGGUGACAGAUCCCAAAUCCAGGCGUCACCAACAAUCCAGGAGGGAGAAGGGCAGAGCUGGGCAGCGUCACCUGGGGCCAUCACAGCGCUCGCUCUGGCCAUGCCACCACCUUUUCCUGGCACAGCCCAACGCCACCACCCACCCUGGCACAUCCCAAACCCUCUCCUCAUCUCCAGCAGAGCCGCGAGUGCCACCUGCGACGUCACCUCCUCGGCCCAGGCUUUCCUGCAACAACCAAGAUUUCAGUUAAGCAAUAAAAAUAAACAAAACCUUAUCAAGGAUAAAAAAAAAAAAAAACAAAAAAAAAGGACAAAAAAAAAGACAAAAAAAAAAAAGACACCUCCUAUUUCUUGCACUAAAAGCUGUUUUAUUAACGAGAAUAACGACGCUUUUCUGGUCCUCACAACGCCACCCACGGCAUCAGUAGCGCCCCUCGCCUGUGUCUCCGUGUCCUCACAUCAGGGUUUGGUUGUUCAAUGCUGUCUAAACCCCAUGUCGGACCCCCAAAAUUCUGUGUCAGCCCCCAAAUUCUAUGUCAAACCCUGAAAUUCAUGUCGAGCCCCAAAACUUUAUGUCAGACCUCCAAAACUCCGUGUCUAACCCUCAAAUUCCAUGUCAAACCUUCAAGUUCCAUGCCAAACCUCCAAAAUUCUGUCAGACACACAAAUUCUAUGUCAAGUCCCCCAAAAGUCUGUGUUAAGCCCCCAAAAUUCUGUGUUAACCCCCCAAAAUUCUGUCCGACCCCCAAACGUCCAUGUCAACCCCCAAAAUCCCAUGUCAACCCUCAAAAUUCCAUGGCAGACCCCCAAAAUUCCAUGUCAACCCCCGAAAUUCUAUGUCCACCCCCAUGUCCAUCCCAUGCCAACCCUCCAAAAUUUUGUCAACAACCCAAAAUUCCGUGCUGGACCCCCAAAAAUUCCAGGUCAACUCCAAAAUCCCACAUCAGAUCCCCAAAAUCCCAUGUCAGACCCCCCAGAACAGAGUCCUCCCUCCAAAAUAUCAUUUUAAAUGUCUGUUCCUCCCUCUCACAUCAGACAGAAAGUACCGGGACUGUUUUGUUCUAAUUUAAUUUAUAAAUAUCUCAUGAUCUGUCCGUCCUCUCUGUCCAAGCUCCCGGCUGGUCUCAAAUAUCCUGUGUAUUCAUUUGCCUUUUUUUUAAAGCAAAAAAAUAAAAACAAAGAAGAAGAAGAAGAAUUCACCACCUUUGCAUUAACCCCACGUGUUCCUGUGAGAAAUGUAAAGCUGAGGCUGUAAAAAUUCAGUUUCCAGCAAGAUUUGUGGACUAGAAGGGAAAAAAAAAGGGUUUAAUUUAAGGACUUCUAAACCAACUGCAUGAGGGAUGAGAGAAGGCCAAACUACUCAGAUAUCUUCUUUUUUUUUUUUUUUUUUUGAAUCACUAUAAAAAAAAAGAAAAGACUGGAUUUUUUUGUAUAGAGAAAACACUAAACAUAUAAUAAAACAUGGUUCAAAACUCA
Molecule: long non-coding RNA, 5440 nt
Organism: Melospiza melodia melodia
Lineage: Eukaryota; Metazoa; Chordata; Aves; Passeriformes; Passerellidae
Exons: 2
Source: RefSeq, a predicted model, not a curated record